This 2935-nucleotide ribosomal RNA is filed under the name Yersinia enterocolitica. Its description in RNAcentral is "bacterial LSU rRNA". It matches the Rfam family "Bacterial large subunit ribosomal RNA". Lineage: Bacteria; Pseudomonadati; Pseudomonadota; Gammaproteobacteria; Enterobacterales; Yersiniaceae. The record is from RNAcentral.
GGGUUGUGAGGUUAAGCGACUAAGCGUACACGGUGGAUGCCUAGGCAGUCAGAGGCGAUGAAGGGCGUGCUAAUCUGCGAAAAGCGUCGGUAAGGUGAUAUGAACCGUUAUAACCGACGAUACCCGAAUGGGGAAACCCAGUGCAAUUCGUUGCACUAUUGCAUGGUGAAUACAUAGCCAUGCAAGGCGAACCGGGGGAACUGAAACAUCUAAGUACCCCGAGGAAAAGAAAUCAACCGAGAUUCCCCCAGUAGCGGCGAGCGAACGGGGAGGAGCCCAGAACCUGAAUCAGCAUAUGUGUUAGUGGAAGCGUCUGGAAAGUCGCACGGUACAGGGUGAUAGUCCCGUACACAAAAAUGCAUACGUUGUGAGUUCGAUGAGUAGGGCGGGACACGUGACAUCCUGUCUGAAUAUGGGGGACCAUCCUCCAAGGCUAAAUACUCCUGACUGACCGAUAGUGAACCAGUACCGUGAGGGAAAGGCGAAAAGAACCCCGGCGAGGGGAGUGAAAUAGAACCUGAAACCGUGUACGUACAAGCAGUGGGAGCACCUUCGUGGUGUGACUGCGUACCUUUUGUAUAAUGGGUCAGCGACUUAUAUUUUGUAGCAAGGUUAACCGAAUAGGGGAGCCGUAGGGAAACCGAGUCUUAACUGGGCGAAUAGUUGCAAGGUAUAGACCCGAAACCCGGUGAUCUAGCCAUGGGCAGGUUGAAGGUUGGGUAACACUAACUGGAGGACCGAACCGACUAAUGUUGAAAAAUUAGCGGAUGACUUGUGGCUGGGGGUGAAAGGCCAAUCAAACCGGGAGAUAGCUGGUUCUCCCCGAAAGCUAUUUAGGUAGCGCCUCGUGAACUCAUCUUCGGGGGUAGAGCACUGUUUCGGCUAGGGGGUCAUCCCGACUUACCAAACCGAUGCAAACUCCGAAUACCGAAGAAUGUUAUCACGGGAGACACACGGCGGGUGCUAACGUCCGUCGUGAAGAGGGAAACAACCCAGACCGCCAGCUAAGGUCCCAAAGUCAUGGUUAAGUGGGAAACGAUGUGGGAAGGCACAGACAGCCAGGAUGUUGGCUUAGAAGCAGCCAUCAUUUAAAGAAAGCGUAAUAGCUCACUGGUCGAGUCGGCCUGCGCGGAAGAUGUAACGGGGCUAAACCAUGCACCGAAGCUGCGGCAGCGACACUUAGGUGUUGUUGGGUAGGGGAGCGUUCUGUAAGCCGUUGAAGGUGACCUGUGAGGGUUGCUGGAGGUAUCAGAAGUGCGAAUGCUGACAUAAGUAACGAUAAUGCGGGUGAAAAACCCGCACGCCGGAAGACCAAGGGUUCCUGUCCAACGUUAAUCGGGGCAGGGUGAGUCGACCCCUAAGGCGAGGCUGAAAAGCGUAGUCGAUGGGAAACAGGUUAAUAUUCCUGUACUUGGUGUUACUGCGAAGGGGGGACGGAGAAGGCUAGGCUAGCCGGGCGACGGUUGUCCCGGUUUAAGCAUGUAGGCGGAGCGACUUGGUAAAUCCGGUUGCUUAUCAACGCUGAGGUGUGAUGACGAGCCACUACGGUGGUGAAGUAGUUGAUGCCAAGCUUCCAGGAAAAGCCUCUAAGCAUCAGGUAACAUUAAAUCGUACCCCAAACCGACACAGGUGGUCAGGUAGAGAAUACUCAGGCGCUUGAGAGAACUCGGGUGAAGGAACUAGGCAAAAUGGUGCCGUAACUUCGGGAGAAGGCACGCUGGCAUUAGGUAAAGGGACUUGCUCCCGGCGCCGAAGCCAGUCGCAGAUACCAGCUGGCUGCAACUGUUUAAUAAAAACACAGCACUGUGCAAACACGAAAGUGGACGUAUACGGUGUGACGCCUGCCCGGUGCUGGAAGGUUAAUUGAUGGGGUCAGCCGCAAGGCGAAGCUCUUGAUCGAAGCCCCAGUAAACGGCGGCCGUAACUAUAACGGUCCUAAGGUAGCGAAAUUCCUUGUCGGGUAAGUUCCGACCUGCACGAAUGGCGUAAUGAUGGCCAGGCUGUCUCCACCCGAGACUCAGUGAAAUUGAACUCGCUGUGAAGAUGCAGUGUACCCGCGGCAAGACGGAAAGACCCCGUGAACCUUUACUAUAGCUUGACACUGAACAUUGAGCCUUGAUGUGUAGGAUAGGUGGGAGGCAUCGAAGUGUGGACGCCAGUCUGCAUGGAGCCAACCUUGAAAUACCACCCUUUAAUGUUUGAUGUUCUAACUCGGCCCCAUAAUCUGGGGUGAGGACAGUGUCUGGUGGGUAGUUUGACUGGGGCGGUCUCCUCCCAAAGAGUAACGGAGGAGCACGAAGGUUAGCUAAUCACGGUCGGACAUCGUGAGGUUAGUGCAAAGGCAUAAGCUAGCUUGACUGCGAGAGUGACGGCUCGAGCAGGUACGAAAGUAGGUCUUAGUGAUCCGGUGGUUCUGAAUGGAAGGGCCAUCGCUCAACGGAUAAAAGGUACUCCGGGGAUAACAGGCUGAUACCGCCCAAGAGUUCAUAUCGACGGCGGUGUUUGGCACCUCGAUGUCGGCUCAUCACAUCCUGGGGCUGAAGUAGGUCCCAAGGGUAUGGCUGUUCGCCAUUUAAAGUGGUACGCGAGCUGGGUUUAGAACGUCGUGAGACAGUUCGGUCCCUAUCUGCCGUGGGCGUUGGAAGAUUGAGAGGGGCUGCUCCUAGUACGAGAGGACCGGAGUGGACGAAUCACUGGUGUUCGGGUUGUCAUGCCAAUGGCAUUGCCCGGUAGCUAAAUUCGGAAGAGAUAACCGCUGAAAGCAUCUAAGCGGGAAACUUGCCUCGAGAUGAGUCUUCCCUGGGGCUUUAAGCCCCCUGAAGGAACGUUAAAGACUAUGACGUUGAUAGGCUGGGUGUGUAAGUGCAGCGAUGCAUUGAGCUAACCAGUACUAAUGAUCCGUGAGGCUUAACCUUACAACACCAAAGGUGUUUUG